UACCGGCGGCUCGAGUGGUGGCCACUAUUACUGGGCUUAAAGCGUCCGUAGCCGGGUUGUUAAGUCUCCCGGGAAAUCCAACGGCUCAACCGUUGGGCGUUCGGGGGAUACUGGCAAUCUAGGGAUCGGGGGAGGUGAGAGGUACUCUAGGGGUAGGAGUGAAAUCCUGUAAUCCUUGGGGGACCACCUGUGGCGAAGGCGUCUCACCAGAACGACUCCGACGGUGAGGGACGAAAGCUGGGGGA
Molecule: ribosomal RNA, 245 nt
Filed under: uncultured archaeon
Lineage: Archaea
Description: partial 16S ribosomal RNA
Rfam family: Archaeal small subunit ribosomal RNA
Source: RNAcentral